Engraulis encrasicolus (European anchovy) is the source of this 393-nucleotide long non-coding RNA. RefSeq lists it as uncharacterized. NCBI's taxonomy places the organism in Eukaryota, Metazoa, Chordata, Actinopteri, Clupeiformes, Engraulidae. The transcript has 4 exons. The record is from RefSeq and is a predicted model, not a curated record.
CUUUAGAAAUUUGGAGAAAAUGUAUUUGCCAGUUUAUAGAAUGAAAUAGCAAUGUUUGUUUUACUCAAACACACACCUAUCUAUGCUGCUUGGAAAUUAUUUCUAAUGUGUUGCCUUUUUUGUCCUAGACUGGAAGUGACUGAAAGAAAACGGAGACUCAUUCUUUCAGCAAGGUGACCAAAAUCUGUUUCGCUCUGCAGCACUUGUCCCGGAGGCUUUGUAGACAGAGUGACUGAACGAAAACCUAAAUGAGAAAUAGGAACAACAUGUUUAGAAGAUGAAGUGUGGAAGCCUCGGCAGCUUCAGUAUGCUGUGUACCUCAUCUUGAACUCUUUCACAUGGUGAUUCCUACACAUAAUUGCACACUGUAUGUGUUUAGCUAUCCUAUCUUAC